CUGUCCUAGACCGACUCAACAUAUCAAGUGUCAAUCAGCAUGGCCGUGUUUGACUGCCUAUUCGGUGAAUUUCUUUUGUGGUUGUGGGACAAUGGCAAAUACACUGGCCAGUAGCUAUGCCCAAUCUCUCAAUUUCUUUUGUGGUUUCGGUACGUUUUCGAAGGUAAAACAUAGAAGUUCAAGAUAGCAAGCAGCAGUGACUCGUGUCCUUGCGCAAUGGAGGGCAGGCAAUGACAUACUAGUCGAUUCUAGUAUUCUGCGAGUCUCACCGCCCAUAUCCCGAGACUUCUCCAAAACUAAUCGAAGCGACGGAGCAGAGGCGGUGCGCGGCUGCCUGUCCGUGGAGGCGUGGCACUGUCCCACGCGCCUCCCGUCACAGCGCCGGCGUCCACAGGCGGCUCGGCUGCAGCUCAUGCUCCAAGUCGCGCGCCGCUCUUCACCCCCCUCGUGCAUGUACUGCUGCCCGAGCGCAACGUCCCGACGCUCCUUGUCUAUCUCUUUGCCUCGCCGCACUCGAACUCCUGACAAUCUCUGCCUCUACAGGAGAACUCGCAGGAGAGAUGAGGCCCAGCAAACGCGCCUGGCCGGAGCAGGAAGGCCGCCCGAGUUGCUACCUCGAUCUGGUGCGUGAAAUACAGGACCAGGGAUCGAUUCCGAGGUGGCUAUCGUCGCGGUGGGAGAGGGAGACGACCACCACCGCCUCGACACUAUCCACCGCCACCACCGCCUGCUGCGGAUAUGGCCUCAGAGGAGGAGCUCAAGCACACAGCAGAUGGGGUGGGAGACCCAUCCACGUUACCCGCGGCGGCAGUGGACGCGGUUCGGGCUUUGGCAGCAGUACAUGUUCCGGUGACUUCUGGAGGUACUAAGUCUAGGGAUGGCACGUCUGAUAAAGGGCCGGAGAAAGCGGAGGGCGAAAAACUCUCUAAGUGGGCAAUUAAGAAGAAAAAGUUGCCUUGCUAUAGAUGUGGUGAACCGGGUCAUUUUAUGGCAGACUGUAGAAUGAGCUUUGUGAUUAUUGCUGCCGAUCUCAGCAUGCGACUGGGGACUGCCCACUUCUUUCGGGUCCUAAACCUGGCAUUAACAUUUUUGGUGUCUACUGUAAGGAGUUGAUGUUCUUUGAGACACCGGAGGUGGACCCUCUACCGCAGAUGGUUGAGAGUUCCUUCCCAGCAGUAGUCAGAGUCACUAAUGGACAGUUGUCAGAGGCUCAGAUCGUGAGACAUCUACGUGACUUAGUGCCAGGGAACCAUCAGUGGCAUCUGGAACAUUUAGAGGAUCAGUCCUAUAAGGUGGAUUUUCCCACCAAAGAGGAUCAAUUGCAUUUUCUUAAGUGGGGUUUGUGCAGAGUCCCGAGCACCAACAUUGUUAUUGCUUUUGAUGAGUGGAAGGAGGAGGAACCUGAUGGUAUACCUUUGGAGAAGGUGUGGGUACGUUUCUUUGGCGCGCCACCAAAAUUGAUGAAACAUUUUCUGAUUGCUUGGAGUUUGGGUGCUAUGAUUGGUAAAACAGAAAAGGUUGACAUGCCUUUCACUCGUGCACACAGGGCUGCGAGGUUACUGGUCAGCGUUGUGAGUGUUGAGUUCAUACCAGAUGUGGUCAGAUGGACACAUGCUGGAGUCACUUAUGUCUUAGAGCUUGAGAUCGAGGAUACUCCGAUUUCCCAGGAUGGGGAUGAGCCACAGGACAUGGACACGACUGAGGGAGGCGGCGUGCCUGGGAAUCAGGAUAAGGGAUCCGAGGAUCCACUGCCGGAGUCGGACAAGGGGCCUAAGGCACAACCAGAUAAGGUAGACAGUUCUACCAAAGAGGUGCCCCCGUCCACUACUCCGAUGAACACGCUUCGUUUUGGUUCGUUUGCACCAAGGUCGGCUCCUAGUCGGUUAUGGAGCACCAGGGUCGAGGCAGACGACCCGACGGAACUUGAGCUGCCACCGGUGCUGCGUCUGGCCGGUGAGGCGAUGAUUGUGGAUUCCUCUCCCGGUGGGGAGGUUGUGCCUGCUAGGUUGGCUGCGGGUGGGGGCGUGGGCAGGAGACCCAUAGCACCCAGCUACUUGCUUCCGACUUCACUUCGAGGGGAGGGGCACCUGGACAGGAGAUCUAUGGCGCUCUUCCCACACCGGCUUCACCGAUCGAGCUGGGGGUGAGGUGCGGGAAGGAGUCCCGCGCUGCAACCCCUACACAGGACUGCACCAUCCAGAGUGGCGAGCUAGGGGUGAGAUGUGGGAAGGAGUCCCGUGUCGUAACCCCUUCGCAGCAUUGCGCCUUGCAGGUUGGCCGGGGGAUGACUUGUUCUGGUGGGGAAAGGGGGAACGGGACUAGUGAGCAGGCGUCUCCAAGGUCCGCAUUCCCCUUGACCUCUGUGGCUGAGGCCCGCUCGACUACGCCUCACCCUCCUUCACCGACGAUAAGGGAGGGGCGUGGGAGUCCAGACUGUACACCCUGAGAGAGGACGACGGAGGAGCUUAUCGCUUUCGGCGGGAUUGCGGAUCCGGUGUCGGCUGGCAGGCGUGUCAGCAACCGGAUCCAGGGUCAGCCGGAUGCGAAUGACCUGCAGCUAGCGCGUGCCAAGAGGGCCACCAUGCUUCGUCAGGCCGAGGCUACUACAGGUUAUAUUCACAGUUACAGCUUGGAUCCUUACUCACUCCUAUGGACUCCAGGGAGCCUUUGGUUACUGGGUGCAACCAAUAGGAGAUGGUGGCUCGGGUUAUAUUCAACCGAUUCGGAUGGCGCUCGCAUAACAGGAUAGGAGUUUAGGGAGCUUAUCCUUCUUAUUACCGUAUCGGUUGUCUUUGUCCGCCUGUACUCUUUUGUUUUUUUUCUACUUUGUUUCACUCUGUUUGCAAGCUGUGAUGAUACCUUCUGGAUUUUUAAUAAGAUGGCCGUAUGCAUCUUCAUGAUGCAGAGGCCAGGGCAUGCCUCCAUUUAAAAAAAAAUUGGGUCUGG
Molecule: ribosomal RNA, 2946 nt
Filed under: Triticum aestivum (bread wheat)
Lineage: Eukaryota; Viridiplantae; Streptophyta; Magnoliopsida; Poales; Poaceae
Description: partial small subunit ribosomal RNA
Source: RNAcentral